This 347-nucleotide ribosomal RNA is filed under the name uncultured Aerococcus sp. Its description in RNAcentral is "bacterial SSU rRNA". It matches the Rfam family "Bacterial small subunit ribosomal RNA", at positions 349 to 688 of the family's 1533-position model. The record is from RNAcentral. Lineage: Bacteria; Bacillati; Bacillota; Bacilli; Lactobacillales; Aerococcaceae.
UAGCAGUAGGGAAUCUUCCACAAUGGGCGGAAGCCUGACGGAGCAAUGCCGCGUGAGUGAAGAAGGCCUUCGGGUCGUAAAACUCUGUUAUAAGAGAAGAACAAAUUGUAGAGUAACUGCUACAGUCUUGACGGUAUCUUAUCAGAAAGCCACGGCUAACUACGUGCCAGCAGCCGCGGUAAUACGUAGGUGGCAAGCGUUGUCCGGAUUUAUUGGGCGUAAAGGGAGCGCAGGUGGUUUCUUAAGUCUGAUGUGAAAGCCCACGGCUUAACCGUGGAGGGUCAUUGGAAACUGGGAAACUUGAGUACAGAAGAGGAAUGUGGAACUCCAUGUGUAGCGGUGAAAUA